RNA transcript from Pangasianodon hypophthalmus (striped catfish), 4228 nucleotides. It is a transcript of the gene named zinc finger protein 436, with no coding region annotated. The transcript has 4 exons. NCBI's taxonomy places the organism in Eukaryota, Metazoa, Chordata, Actinopteri, Siluriformes, Pangasiidae. The record is from RefSeq and is a predicted model, not a curated record.
CGCGCCGCAGGGGGCGUCAGUGUGAGUGGAGCUCGUUUAUAUAGCCGACAACCACAGAACUAGUCAGGCUUCAGAGACGCCUGCAGUUUAUCAGAUUUGUUCCCCUUUAUUCCACAAGCUAAGGACUUUUGUUUAAGUUGCAACAAUGAACUCGAAGAACCUGAAGGCUUUCCUGGAGUCCUCUCUGAACGAGAUCUUCAAGGCGACUGUGGGUAACAUCCUGGACUCUGUAGAUCAGACUCUGGCUGAGUAUCAGGGACAAAUUCGGCGGAUUACAUCUGAAAAUGAGACUCUGAGAGAAAAACUGCGUGCUCAAGAGGCUAUUACAUGCCAGGUCAAAACAGUGCAUGAUGAUCUUGUUGUUGCUGAUGGGGACUUGAGACCGACUUUUCAUCAUCAUCCAACUUUACCUGGACAUAAGGGUCCAGGGAAAGCCUCUCAGAAACAGAGGGAAGAUUGGAGAAAGAGAGCAGGAAGCUCGAGGCUUGCAUUACUGAAACCAAGCCCCCUUCCAACCAACAGCGAAACACAUCAGUUAGAUGAAGAAGUGCCAAGUACCACAGUACCUUACGUAAAGAUUGACCCAGACUUUGAAGAUGACAGCAGCCUGUUAAAGCAUCAAUCCCCUGUUAACCUUACAACUAAGAUCAUUAAAGUAGAAGGGUCUGAGGAGAAUUUUUCAGAAUGUUACAUUGGGUCUCCAGCAGACCACUCCAGAGCCAGCGAUGACGAGAUUCAAGUAACCAUGGUGUCUAAUAAGCAUAUGAGCAGUACUAUGAGUGAAGAUGAAGCCAGCGAUAUGGGGCACCAUGAAUCAGAGAAGUCAUCACACAGCGUAUCUGAGGAAGAUAUUGAAGAUCCAACUGACGACACUGUUCUUGGUGUCUGUUUUGAUGGUGAUGUUGGAUUGGCUUUAGAACCAGACAAGGGAUUUAUAGAAAUUUUUCAAUCGACGGAAUCACCAAACUCGAAAGAGCCGAAAGACAGCAAAACCUUCCACUGCGCACUUUGCGAGAAGAGCUUCAGUCGCAUGGCAUCACUUAACAUACACAUGAGGACUCAUAGCUCGGAAAGAGCUCACGUCUGCAGCUACUGUGGAAAGGGUUUUAGCAGAGCUGACCUUCUGAAGAACCAUCAACGCACCCAUACGGGCGAGAGACCAUAUUCCUGUAACCUGUGCGGAAAGAGUUAUGGUCAUCAGGGCCAGCUCCGGAUCCACAAACGAACCCACACGGGUGAGAAACCCUACGCCUGCCCCCAUUGCGCUAAGCGCUUUACUGAACACAACCAGCUCAAAGUGCACCUCCGGACGCACACGGGCGAGCGACCAUACUCGUGCAGCGUCUGCGCUAAGACCUUCGCCAGCGCUGGCAACCUGAGGAUCCAUCUGCGGAUUCAUAGUGGAGAAAAACCUCAUUGUUGUAGCCAGUGCGGGAAGAGGUUCAACAGCCAAGGCGACCUUAAAACACAUCUGCGUGUGCACACAGGCGAGCGCCCGUACCACUGCGAUCUCUGCGAAAAGACAUUCAGCCAGGCCGGCCAUCUGAGCAUCCACAUGCGCAUGCACACGGGUGAGAGGCCGUACGAAUGCGGAAUAUGUGGACGCACCUUCACUGUGGCUAGCAGCCUCAAGCUCCAUCAGCUCACCCACACUGGAGAGAAGCUGCACACCUGUGUACGCUGUGAGAAAAGCUUCAGCAGGGCCAGCCAUCUGAAAAGACACGAGCAGCUCCACGCCAAAGAAGAAACCGUACUGAUGGGUGCUGAUCAGUCGUUGUCGAUGGAAGACCAAAAGCUUCAUGGUGGAGAUGAAGUACAAAAUUUGGAAGGGAUGGAGUGAAUGAAGACUCCAUCCUCACACACAGUGGCCACUUUAAACCUUUAUUUUUAAGGGUGUACUUGUUAACUGUUGGGCAAACCUUCCAUUUAGGCCACUUUGUAUUAUCACUUUAUCAACGCCCCCACUACCCCAUCCACUAAUCCAAUGGAAGGGGAUCGCAGAUGGGCAAAUGUUAUUUAGAUGGUCGUCCAUUCUCAGUACAGCAGUGACACUGACAUGGUAGUGUGUGGUACUGCAGAUUGUAUCAGGCACAUCAGGAAAGUGCUAUCUACCAUCUUCCUCAUACACAAGCUCGCAGACCUGCGUGAUUUGCUAGUGUCUGUACUAUUCCAUCCCUCCCACCCAGAGAGCACGGACAAUUUUACUCCCUUGGCUCUCGGCCAUGGAUAGCUGUGGCAUCAUCGGCAUUCCAACUCACGAUCCCCUGAGAGCUUUUAGAGGUUUUAAAGACUUACCGGUUACUUUAUUGCACAAGCCUAUCUUGUUGAUUCAUCUUGUAGGUGUAUAGCUGGAGACCAAAGCUCAUGUUUUAUCUGAGCGUAACACUGCUGUUGGCUGGACAUUUUUGGUUCAGAAAAAGUCUACCAACUUGGUAAAGAAUGAGGGAGCAGGGAGAAACACUUCUGUAUCUGAUACAUUCAUGUCCGAGCACUGGUCACUGUGCUGAAAAUGAUCCAGCACCCAAAUAGACUUAUGUUGCUCGCUUUCAGCGAUGGGCAGGUGUGGAAGGCUUGACUGCAGUCACUAAUCGUACACCUACAAAGUGACCUAUAUGGUAGGUCUACAUGCUACAAUAGCCAGUGAGUGCAGGUAGCUGUACCCAAUGAAUUGGCACCAUGUGUGAUAUACAUACAUUUCAUUUUGCUUUACAACCCUUUAUUGCACAGUCAAGAAAAAAAAAUCUAUUUAAAAAAAAAAUCCAAAUAUUUGUUUGCCAAGCAUGACAGUUUGAGUAAUGAGGCUUAAUUUACCUAAAAGUUAUUAUGGUGGACAUAUGGAAGAAAGUUAGAAUUAAAAUAGUGGUUUGCAUAGUUUUCAGGUUAAAGUAAAUGACAUAUAAUAGAAAUUGCCUGAUCCAUGCACCUUACAUUUCUUCUCCUCUAGUCAUUAAGGUUCCUCUGGGUUCUUCGGUUUUCUUCCACCUCCAAAAAAAUGAAAAACCUUCCUGUAGGUGAAUUGGAUACACUAAAUUGCCUCUAGGUGUGAUUAAGUGUAUGAGUGUGUGCAUGGUGUUCUGAGGUGGACUGGUGCCCCCUCCAUGCUGAGUGUUCCUGGUGUAAGCUCCAGAUCCACUACGAACCUGACCAAGAUGAAGCGGUUACUGAAGUCUACCACAGUGACAUCCAAUGGGGUUUCCCAAACCACCACACAUACUGGCCAAUUAGAACCGUAAGUACAGUGAAUAUAAUGAAAAUGGUAUCAUGAAAAUGUUGUUUAAUAAUACAAUGUAGAAUAUGAGGUACUUUCUCAUUAUUCCUUUUUAUUUCUGAUGUUUUCGAGAUGGAAAAUUUGUCUGAUAUUUGUCUCCCCUUUCAUUGGGACUUUAAAUUGAUCCUUGAUUCCCUGCUGAGGCCCUGAUCCCGGCACCUUCUUCUCACUGGAAACUGAAUUCCUUGUUUUGAAUGGAAUCUAUUUGCUUUCUAAGGACUCACCUAAGCAGUGUUAUGCUAUCAUUAACUGUCAUUAAUCUUAAUAGAAGGACUAGUGGUUUUUCAAAUGGUGACUAAUUGUAAUGUACUGAUCAAAGAUGCUGAAUUUAUUUUUGUUCGUGUAUCUUAAUGACUGUGUGAUUUUUAUAUUAGCCAACACUUUUUUUUUUCGAUGUUUGCGUACGCCAGGACUAGUGAUUUCCGUUCAGGUCGACUGAUUUCUCCACACUUUUAAGAGUGCAAAUGUAUGAAACAUUGCAUAUAUUUCCAUAGAUAUGUUUUUUCUUUCUUUUUUUUUUUUUUCUUUUUUUUUUUGUGUUUUAAUUCUGUCACAUCUUUUAUGCAUUUUAGGGCAUGCAUUAUUGAGUAUUUUCCUCACCGUUCCUGUUCGUGCUCCUUCUCUAUCAGUCUGCGUAAAGGAACCAUGUAAACUAAAUUACAGUCUUGAGCUAAACUGAUUUUCAAAAUCCAUACUUGUGAAAAUGACUGUAGACUUGCUAAUGGUAUUGACAAGCUUAGCUUUGUGACCAAACACAGUGCAGUAACAAUUUAAAGUGCACACAUUAUACUGUGCUUUUAACUGCAAAUUCCCCUUGACAAGAAAGGUUAGAUGGUAAUGUUAACUAAAAGUAUGUACACAUUAUAAUGAUUAAUAUUGUUUACUUAGUGGAAAUGUAGUGGAAAUGAAGCCAUUCUUGCAAUUGUCAUUCCGUCAUAAUAAAUGAAAUGAAAAAUCAAA